GCCGAGGUAGCUCAGUUGGUAGAGCAUACGACUGAAAAUCGUAGUGUCGCCAGUUCGAUUCUGGCCCUCGGCACCA
This 76-nucleotide transfer RNA is filed under the name Acidobacteria bacterium SCN 69-37. RNAcentral describes it as "tRNA-Phe". It matches the Rfam family "tRNA". From Rfam's summary of the family: Transfer RNA (tRNA) molecules are approximately 80 nucleotides in length. Their secondary structure includes four short double-helical elements and three loops (D, anti-codon, and T loops). Further hydrogen bonds mediate the characteristic L-shaped molecular structure. tRNAs have two regions of fundamental functional importance: the anti-codon, which is responsible for specific mRNA codon recognition, and the 3' end, to which the tRNAs corresponding amino acid is attached (by aminoacyl-tRNA synthetases). tRNAs cope with the degeneracy of the genetic code in two manners: having more than one tRNA (with a specific anti-codon) for a particular amino acid; and 'wobble' base-pairing, i.e. permitting non-standard base-pairing at the 3rd anti-codon position. RNAcentral also lists the same sequence under 8 other names. Lineage: Bacteria; Pseudomonadati; Acidobacteriota. The record is from RNAcentral.